This 397-nucleotide ribosomal RNA is filed under the name uncultured bacterium. RNAcentral describes it as "bacterial SSU rRNA". It matches the Rfam family "Bacterial small subunit ribosomal RNA", at positions 32 to 409 of the family's 1533-position model. The record is from RNAcentral.
AAUCAACGCUGGCGGCGUGCCUCAGACAUGCAAGUCGAACGCGAAAGUUUCCUUCGGGAGACAAGUAGAGUGGCGCACGGGUGAGUAACACGUAGGUAAUCUACCUUUGGAUGGGGAAUAACAACCGGAAACGGUUGCUAAUACCGCAUAAUGCAGCGGCACCUAAUGGUGACAGUUGUUAAAGCGGGGGAUCGAAAGACCUCGCGUCUGAAGAGGAGCCUGCGGCGGAUUAGCAGUUGGUAAGGUAAUGGCUUACCAAGGCUACGAUCCGUAACCGGCCUGAGAGGGCGGUCGGUCACACUGACACUGACAUACGGGUCAGACUCCUACGGGAGGCAGCAGUCGGGAAUUUUGGGCAAUGGGCGAAAGCCUGACCCAGCAACGCCGCGUGAAGGAU